RNAcentral lists this ribosomal RNA (208 nucleotides) under uncultured Chlorobaculum sp. RNAcentral's name for it is "partial 16S ribosomal RNA". It matches the Rfam family "Bacterial small subunit ribosomal RNA", at positions 568 to 775 of the family's 1533-position model. Lineage: Bacteria; Pseudomonadati; Chlorobiota; Chlorobiia; Chlorobiales; Chlorobiaceae. The record is from RNAcentral.
UGCGCAGGCGGAUUAAUAAGUCGGGGGUUAAAUCCAUGUGCUUAACACAUGCACGGCUUCCGAUACUGUUGAUCUAGAGUCUCGAAGAGGAAGGUGGAAUUUCCGGUGUAACGGUGGAAUGUGUAGAUAUCGGAAAGAACACCAGUGGCGAAGGCAGCCUUCUGGUUGAGUACUGACGCUCAUGCACGAAAGCGUGGGGAGCAAACAG